RNAcentral lists this ribosomal RNA (464 nucleotides) under uncultured bacterium. RNAcentral describes it as "partial 16S ribosomal RNA". It matches the Rfam family "Bacterial small subunit ribosomal RNA", at positions 28 to 506 of the family's 1533-position model. The record is from RNAcentral.
GACGAACGCUGGCGGCGUGCUUAACACAUGCAAGUCGAACGGAAAGGCCCUGCUUGCAGGGUACUCGAGUGGCGAACGGGUGAGUAACACGUGGGUGAUCUGCCCUGCACUUCGGGAUAAGCCUGGGAAACUGGGUCUAAUACCGGAUAGGAGCCAUUUUGAGUGUGAUGGUUGGAAAGUUUUUUCGGUGUAGGAUGAGCUCGCGGCCUAUCAGCUUGUUGGUGGGGUAAUGGCCUACCAAGGCGGCGACGGGUAGCCGGCCUGAGAGGGUGGACGGCCACAUUGGGAUUGAGAUACGACCCAGCCCCCUACGGGAGGCAGCAGUGCGGAAUAUUGCACAAUGGGCGGAAGCCUGAUGCAGCGACGCCGCGUGGGGGAUGACGGCCUUCGGUUUGUAAACUCCCUUCGCUAGGGCCGAAGCUUUUUUUGACGGUACCUAGAUAAGAAGCACCGGCAAACUACGU